GAAUGUGCCCUUCGGGGGAAAGAUUUAUCGCCUUUAGAGCGGCCCGCGUCUGAUUAGCUAGUUGGUGAGGUAAAGGCUCACCAAGGCGACGAUCAGUAGCUGGUCUGAGAGGAUGAUCAGCCACACUGGGACUGAGACACGGCCCAGACUCCUACGGGAGGCAGCAGUGGGGAAUCUUGCGCAAUGGGCGAAAGCCUGACGCAGCCAUGCCGCGUGAAUGAUGAAGGUCUUAGGAUUGUAAAAUUCUUUCACCGGGGACGAUAAUGACGGUACCCGGAGAAGAAGCCCCGGCUAACUUCGUGCCAGCAGCCGCGGUAAUACGAAGGGGGCUAGCGUUGCUCGGAAUUACUGGGCGUAAAGGGCGCGUAGGCGGAUCGUUUAGUCAGAGGUGAAAUCCCAGGGCUCAACCCUGGAAUUGCCUUUGAUACUGGCGAUCUUGAGUGUGAGAGAGGUAUGUGGAACUCCGAGUGUAGAGGUGAAAUUCGUAGAUAUUCGGAAGAACACCAGUGGCGAAGGCGACAUACUGGCUCAUUACUGACGCUGAGGCGCGAAAGCGUGGGGAGCGAACAGGAUUAGAUACCCUGGUAGUCCACGCCGU
This 598-nucleotide ribosomal RNA is filed under the name Brevundimonas sp. PLB130. RNAcentral's name for it is "bacterial SSU rRNA". It matches the Rfam family "Bacterial small subunit ribosomal RNA", at positions 171 to 803 of the family's 1533-position model. The record is from RNAcentral. Lineage: Bacteria; Pseudomonadati; Pseudomonadota; Alphaproteobacteria; Caulobacterales; Caulobacteraceae.